This 68-nucleotide transfer RNA is filed under the name Mutilla europaea. RNAcentral's name for it is "tRNA-His". Lineage: Eukaryota; Metazoa; Arthropoda; Insecta; Hymenoptera; Mutillidae. The record is from RNAcentral.
AAUUAAGUAGUUUAUUAAAAAUUUUAGUUUGUGGUACUAAUGAAAAGGAAGAUUAUACUUCUUAAUUU